AUGGCAGAGGAAAAACAAGGACAUGGAACUAAUCCUCCUCAGGGACCUACAAAAACAAGUUGGCCUGAGCUAGUUGGUGUCUCUGCAGAAGAAGCAGAGAGGAAAAUAAAGGAAGAGAAGCCUGAGGCUGAAAUUCAAGUGGUGCCACAAGAUUCAUUUGUUACCGCUGAUUAUAAAUUUCAGAGAGUUAGAUUGUAUGUUGAUGAGUCUAACAAGGUUGUUAGAGCUCCAGCAAUUGGCUAG
This is a non-coding RNA of Vicia faba (fava bean), 243 nucleotides long. The record is from the annotation of a GenBank genome assembly. NCBI's taxonomy places the organism in Eukaryota, Viridiplantae, Streptophyta, Magnoliopsida, Fabales, Fabaceae.